CAGUAGCAAAACCGGAUAACAGGACCGAGCUCUUCGAACUGGUGAAGAACGGCCUCGUCAGAAACGCCUUCGAGAAAGCUCUGUCCCUGAACGAUCCUUCCAUGGUCUGGUGGCUUUGCACCAAGGUAAUCCAUUCACGUCCUCCAGCUGCUCAUCAAAGCUUUGUCAGCUCAGGUGGAGCAUACCGUCCUGCUUGUCUUCAGUGAAUCAAUGCUCAUGGAACUGGCCGAGCAAAUCAACACCAACUUCAAGGAAGACACUGCUCGCAGGUUGCUCUGGAUCGACGAGAUUGGCAUCUUGCUGUUCAAAGACGUCAAUGGACAGGCAUGGUCAUCACCUCAGGUGCUGAGGAUCCUGGAGCAGCUUUCACAGAACUUCCACGGCAUGAUGGCUAUAACACCGCCAAAGAGCGAGCUGGGGAUGAAGCUGGUGAACAUGCUGGGUGGCACCAACAUGGGUCUCCAGGUUCGUAUGAAGCUCUUCGUGUUAUUCAUUUGAUUCAAAUCGUUUGUUGUCGCAGCAUAUCUGUUAGGCACCAGCUUUGACUACGUGGUCAACAUCGGUCAAAGGGUAUAUGAAGGCAUGUUAGGGUAAGGGACUUAACUUACCCUAGGGCUCACAGUGGAGUGGUGGUGCAGUGGAACUUUUGAGGUAGCUCAGGGGUGGUUGGGUGGUGAGGAACCUCAAGAGGUGGCAUAGCAUAAUCUAGGGCAACUAGAUUUUUGUCUUUUUGCGCCGGAUCAUAACAUUGGUAUCAGAGAAGUUGGUUGCGAUGGCCGACCAAGCUGAACGCUGGAAUCCUAUUGUCGAUGGUGGUGCCAACAAUGGUGCUGACGAAGCUGCAGAGAUUUAGACCAUUCAAGAUGUGGUUCAUGAGCUGCGAGCCCUUAACCGAAAUCAGUAAGAGAUGCAAGAUGAGAUGCAUGGCAUGAUGGAUACCAUGCGUGGGCGUGUUGAGGCACUCGAGGCUGGACGGGGUAGCGCUCCAAGUAAACCUUCUUUGGUAGAUCGACUCAAAAUUCCAAAUUUUUCCGGUGAUGGUGGUGUGGACGAGUGUCUCGCUUGGCUAGCCAAUGUGAAGAAGUUCUUGGCUGCUAGAGGAACUCCAGAUGCAGAGGCUUUAGUGGCUAUUCCGAUGGUUUUGCGUGAUGCGGGUUUUCGAUGGUGGAAUUGGCUUGAGGAGUCCCGUGUUGUGGAUAAGAAACCACCAGUGUCUACCAUGGAUGAGUUUGAGGUUGCUUUUCAUUUAUGUUUUGCCCCUCAUUACGACAUGGAGAAUGCUCGUACAGAACUUUGACAUUUUCAGCAAAGGAAAAUGAUGCUCGGGGACUAUAUUGAGAAGCUUACUUGCUUGAUUAGUCGUGUUCCAACGAAGGAUCCAGAUCAGAACAAGUCCUACUUCAUUGAUGGCCUACAUAGUGAGAGCAUGCGGCAACACUUGCGUCAUUCUCAGCCUACAAAGAGUUUGAAGGAGCUCUUUGAUGUGGCUCGUCGACUUGACAAUGAUAAGCACAAGUCUCGCAAGCGUUUGCGGAGUCCUUCUGUCGAGAAUCGUCGUGAUGAUCACCAUGGACACAAGGAUGGGAACAAGCAUCACAAAUUGAAGUCAGUGGUGACUACUUCGGAUGCAAAGGGGUCCAAGAAGUAGAAGUUCUUUGUGAAGAAUUAUAGACAAGGUUGUCAUCAUUGCAGCGAAUUUGGACACUACAAGGCUGAUUGUCCGCAGUUGAAGAACAAGCAGCAGGACAAGAAGAAUGGCCAAUCUUCUUCUCACGGUAAGUCCGAUACUAAAAAGUUGUAAACUUUGCAGCGUGAGGAUGAGGAGAACGACCAUUCCGGUUGGAGGAAGCGACUUUCGAUCGUUGCUCAUCAGCUCAACUGUGUGUGGAACAAGAUGGAGCUCGAGGAUAUGCGUGAAUCAGCUUUAAUGCUGGAGGGUGUGUUCCGUGGCGAUCUAAUGCGGAUUUUACUAGAUAGUGGGAGCGAUGACAACUUUGUUUCUGCUGCGGAGCAUGGCCUGGUCACACGUGGAGUUCUUCCAUACACAGUGGAAGGUGCAGCCACCUUUACUCAACAUUUCGAUGCUUGUGUCGAGGGGCUGGAAGUGUUGGUUGGCAAAACCACACUUGUGAAGACUUUUUAUCUCACGGAUAUCCAUCGUGUGGAUCUCAUUCUUGGGAUGCCAUGGUUGGCGAAGGUGGAUCCAGAGAUAAAGUGGAGCAUUAAGCGUAUCUCGCUGGAGUAUGGUGGCGUUAAAGAUGUGUGGUUUAGCGAGGGCGUUCAACCACCAGUUGUUAUGCUCUCUGCUACAUCUUUGAAACGGGCUUGUCGUAAUAGAAAAGCACUUUCAAGUUACUUGCUGUUUGUUCGUGACUUGGGGGACCAAGGCACGUGUGGGGGAGAAGCAAUAGUACAGGAUGUACUUGACGAGUUUUCUGAUGUUUUUCCAUAUGAACUUCCUCAUGGAUUACCUCCGUUACAAGGUGUGGAGCAUGGGAUUACAUUAGAGCCGGGGAUGUGGCCAAUUUACCAGUGUCCAUUUUGGUUAAGUUAUGCGCAGGAGCAAGAAGUUCAACGACAAGUCAAGGAGUUACUUAAGUUUGGAUUUAUUCAGCCAAGUAAGUCUCCGUUUGGUGCUCCAGUCUUGCUUGUGAAGAAGAAAGACGGUUCAAUGCGGAUGUGUAUUGACUACCGUGCUUUAAACAAGAAGACAGUGAAGGACAAGAUGCCGAUGCCACGUGUGGAUGAUAUCUUGGACAAGCUUGGUGAAGCACGAGUGUUUACUAAGAUUGAUCUGAGGAGUGGAUAUCAUCAGAUUGCAAUGGAUGAUGCAUCUAUCUCCAAGACGGCAUUCAACACAAGUUUCGGACAUUUUGAGUUUACCGUUAUGCCGUUUGGUUUGACGAAUGCACCGGCCACAUUUACUCGGUUGAUGACGGAGGUAUUUGGGCGUUAUCUUCAUGAGUUUGUGGAGAUUUUCUUGGACGAUAUUCUUGUUUUUAGCAAAGAAUAUGGAGGAGCAUAGGGUGCAUUUGCGCAAGGUUCUUUUGUUACUUCGAGAUAGCAAACUUUAUGCGAAGAAGAGCAAAUGUGAAUUUGCAAAGUCGGAGGUGGAAUAUCUAGACCAUAUUGUGACAUCUAAGGGUGUCAAGACAGAUCCAAGGAAGGUGGCUAUGAUGGAAAAUUGGCCUACACUGACUACAAUGGCCGAGUUGCGCAGUUUUCUUGGUAUGGCUAGUUACUACCGACGUUUCCAGCAUAAGUUUGCAGAGGUGGCUAUUCCUUUGACAUGGUUGUUACGCAAGAAUGUGCCAUUCGAGUGGAAGAAGCCACAAGAGGAGAGUUUUGUGGUGCUGAAAUGAUUGUUGAGCGAGGCUUUAGUGCUUCGCAUUGCUGAUCCAUUGAAACCUUACGAGGUGACAUGCGAUGCGAGUGGUUAUGCACUGGGAGGAGUUUUUAUGCAAGAGGGACAGCCUAUUGCAUAUGAGAGUCGAACUUUGAAUUCCGCAAAGCAAUACUAUUCCACAUAUGAGCAAGAGUUACUCUCUAUUGUUCAUGCUUUGUAGACGUGGCGGCACUAUCUUUAUGGUGCAAUGUUCGUGGUGUUGACAGAUCACAAACCACUUGUGUAUCUUUUCACACAGAAGGAGUUGAACACUAGGCAAGCUCGUUGGAUGGUCAAACUCAUGGAGUUUGGGGAGUUUCCUAUUGAGCAUUGUCCGGGAAAAUCCAAUGUGGUGGCAGAUGCUUUAUCUCGUGUUCGUCAUGUGACGACAUUACAAACACGAUUUUGUCAUCAUUUGAGUAAGGUGGUCAGUGGGUUUGGACAGUUGGUUGAGCAUGCUCAGGCUCAGGAUGCUGAGGUGGCCUCUUUGCGUGACCAGAUGGAAGCUCCUUUCUCAUUGGUGGAUGGGAUUCUCUAUUACAAUGGCCGUGUAUAUUUGCCACGGGUGGAUGCGUUAAUUACUCAAGUUUUAUUCCACUAUCAUGAUCGUCCAGAGGCCGGUCAUUUUGGGGGGAAGAAGACGUAUAAAUUGAUUAAGCGCAACUUUUAUUGGAGGAAUAUGAAGGUUGAUAUCCUCAAGUAUUGUAAAUCAUGCGAGCUUUGUCAGCGGGUUAAGGUGCCACGAGAGAAGCCGGGGGGACUUUUGCAACCUUUACCUAUUCCUCAGAGCCGUUGGUGUAGUAUCUCUAUGGACUUCAUCACUUGUUUGCCACGAACACAGAGGCAAAAGGAGCAAGUAUGGGUUAUAGUGGAUCGGUUGACAAAGUAUGUGCGGUUGUUGGCUCUUCGGAAGAUUGUCACUGCCUCAAACUUGGCUGCGGUUUACUUGGAGAAGGUUUUUCCUGAUUUUGGUUUGCCAAAGGACAUCAUUAGUGAUCGAGAUUCAAAGUUCACCAGUGGAUUUUGGAAAAGCUUUGCAAAGGUUAUACAAAUGACUUUGAAACUCUCGAGUGGAGGUCAUCCUUAGACAGAUGGGCAAACCGAGCGUGUAAAUCAAAUGGUGGAGGAUAUGCUACAUUGUAGCAUUGGUCAAAGGCAAGGAUAGUGGGAUUUUUAUCUUCCGUUGGUGCAAUUUGCUUACAACAAUAGCCAACACAGUGGAACCAAGCUAAGUCCUUACUUUGCCAUAUUUGGAAGGCAUCCUCGAAUAGUAGUGGAGUUGGGAUUGCAUUUGAGUAAAGACAUUCAAGAUAAGCUUGAUUCCAAGGCAACUGAUCUGGCCACAGAACUUGAUGAGAUCUUGGUGGUGUGCAAACAGAAUUUGCAAGCAGCUCAGGAUAGAGCGGAGAAGUUUGCCAAUGAGCAUCACCAAUUCCAGGAAUAUAAGGUGGGUGGUCUGAUCUUUGUACGCGUGAUCUUUCCGUCAAGUGAGCGGUAGAACACCUUGGUGCCUUUACGGACAGGGAAGAGUGAUAAACUUUCCCAUCGAUAUGCUAGUCCAUAUGAAGUGCUGGAGCACUUUGGUAAAGCGGCUUAUCGGGUGUGGCUGCUAGCUGGGGUGAAAAUUCAUCCGGUAUUUUAUGUCAGCCAGUUGAAAGGUGUACUAUUUCGGAGUGACGGGCCCAAUGCCUCCUUGAUGUAUACAGCUGUGGAAGAUGGACCAGAAGCUUGAGUAGGAUUCCCUAGAAAGGGUGAUCACAAAUUCAACUCGUCCUUGGGACAAGGACUUUGUUGGGGGGGAAGAAUUGUUAGGCGCCAGCUUUGACUACGUGGUCAACGUCAGUCAAAAGGGGGCUCAAGGGUAUAUGAAGGCAUGUUAAGGUAAGGGACUUAACCUACCCUAGGGCUCACAGUGGAGUGGCGGCGCAAUGGAGCUUUUGAGGUAGUUUGGGGGUGGUUGGGUGGUGAGGUGGUGUAGCAUAAUCUAGGGCAACUAGAUUUUUGUCUUUUUGCGCCGGAUCAUAACAGUAUCUGAGUUGCAGUUGACAGCAAAGUUCAACACAUGAGAGUCCUUGGAGGAUACUUUCCAGUGGAACACCGGUAGUUUCGGAGUAUUUCGAUGUUCUAAUUUCCUGCCUGCCAAAAGCAUCAACCAUGCUUCAUGAAAGAACCAUAAAGAACUUACCAAUUCCCGUUCUGAACUUUGAGUAAACACCUAUCAUCGUUUCAUCCUGCGACAAAUAUCCAAGAACAAAGCUCUCACCAUUCUUUAGUUUUAAACUUGAGUAGACGGGUGAAGAUCCCAACCUUUUCGAUCUAGCAGCAGCAGUAGCAAGCAGCCUUGGCAGCUUCCGCAGCAGCGUAGACACCAGUAAUUCUCGUCGCCACAGCAUCGAGGAUCAUUGCUCUCCGCUCAAAGAACGACUUUGCCACUUUCAGCUUCUCGGAUCCCCAUAGGCUUGUAGACGAUCCCGGCAGCUAGCCGCUGCUUCAUGACCUUGGCUGGACGAACGUAAGCAUCGCCCAGCUUGGCCUUCAAUCUCUUUGGCACCUGAAAAUCCAAUCGACCACCACCACCACCCCCCGCUUUGUUGCGCUUGCCCGGAUUCUUGGAGCCGGUGCUCUCGCCGUGCAAGGACGAAGAAUUUGCUGGAGCCACACCAGCAAGCGCCUUGUCUUGCUCUUUGAUCCCUUCCUUCUUGGCGUGCUCGGACCAGAGAUCGCGCGAUGCGAACAAUGCUGAGUACGUGGGGCUCUUCUUGGCGUAGAGGAAGGGAUUGGGACGUGGAUUGUGGAUGUAGAGGCGCAACGAGCGAGCUCCACUGCAAGAACCCUAUCGAAAUAUCGAUAUCGAGGAUGACAAGAAAAGCCAUUUCUUAUGCCUGAUUAAAGUAUAAUUCCCAGACAAGACUUAGGAUUUAUAAUUACUCAAAAGAAAAGUCCACGGUAGACUUUUCCCACGCUGCAAAGCAAUGGAGCGGCGCUAGUGGUGAUCACCGACGAGCAUGGCAGCAGCGAAUUUGCUCGAGGCGAUUCGAAUCGCGGACAAGGUUGGCACAAGAUCCACGAACACAAACUCGAGCAAGGUCUGUAGAAACCAAUGUAGGAUCCUCAUCGCGGCGGUCGGCUAUGUCCGAGACUAUCUCAAGCAAAUCCAGGAUCUCAACUUCGCGAGCAACAGGCGAGCCUUCGUAUGGGACGAAACCGUGGCUGUCCUUAAAAGAGGCCUCCAUCUCCUCAAGUCAUGCCAAGAGGGCGAUUGGAUCGCUCGGAGCCUGCUGUUUGAGGAAAGCUGCGAUGAUUUCCAGAGCAUUUACGCCGAGAUCUACAACUGCGUCGAGCUCGUCAGCGUCUAUCUCUUUCAGCUGGCACCGUCCACCUCGCACAGAUCCAGGAUUGCCGAGGCUUACAACUCGUGCCUCAUGAGGCAGAAUUCGAGCAGCAUGCUGGAAGAAGCCGGAAGGAACGAUCGGAAGGAGCUCAUGGCUCUCGCAAUGAACCAAGAGCCGGGAAGCCUGACGACCGAGACAGAACGAGCCAAAGAGAUACUCUGCUCCAUGCUCCUGGGAAACAAGUCAGUGAUCAACCACAAGGAACUCAAGCUGAGAACACACCUGGGACAAGGAGCUUACGGAACCGUGUACGAAGCAAUCUGGCUCGGUCACAAGUUCGCGGUGAAAGUCUUCGCUCAAGGUGACACCAGCUUCGCCAAAGAGCUCGCGGUUCUCGGAGCUCACAAGCAUCCCAACGUGUUGCACAUUGCCGGCCAUUCUUUCGAUGGAGAGAAGCGGCAGUACUCGCUGGUGAUGGAGAAGAUGGACAUGGACCUGGCAAACUACCUCCUCAAGAAGAACUCCCUCUCGUUGCUGUCGAUCGUGGCAGUGAUGCUCCAAGUCGCUACUGGCAUGGCUUGGCUUCACUCGAAGAACGUAAUCCACCGGGACCUCAAGCCGCAGAACAUCUUGGUUGGCGAAGAAGACAACGAUCUCGUGAGUAUCAGGAUUGCCGACUUUGGAGUCUCGAGGCCCGAUUUCAUCUCCUCCCUCAUCAGCGAAGCCACCCCCAAGCAAGGCACCAGAAACUUCAUGGCACCAGAAGUGUGGACCAGCGAGCGCUACACGAAGAAGGCCGACGUUUACAGCUACGGGAUGCUGAGCUACCAGCUUGUCACUGGAAACAUUCCGUUCAAGGUCGGGAUGGACAUGGAGCAAGUCCUUCGAGGCAAGCGUCCUGAGAUACCAGCCACCUGUCCAGAGUUCCUGUCGCAGCUCAUGCGGGAAUGCUGGAACCACGAUGCGAAAGAGAGGCCUUCCUUCUCGGAUAUCUGCGAGCGGCUGAAGCAGCUCAAAUCCAGGAUCAUCACUGGCACCGACUCCACCGACGAGCUACGAGCCAAGUUGGUUGAAGCAGCCAGGUCAUCUUCCUCUUCUUCGUACUCGUCGUCUUCCUCGUCCUCGUCGCACAGCAGGACUCGAGUAAACCUGGAUUCUCUUGUCCAAGCGACUGAGAAGCUUUGGACCCAAAAUCCCCCGCCUUCCCGUGUCCAGGUAACUCUUUUGCUUUAUGUAACUUCUGGAGCUCACCACCUUUGGGUUCAGCCGGUACCACACCGUCCUCACCACGUCGCACCAUUACCAAAACCAGAUAAAAGGACCGAGCUCUUCGAACUGGUAAAGAACGGCCUCAUCAUAACGCCUUCGAGAAAGCUCUGUCCCUGAACGAUCCUUCCACGGUCUNNNNNNNNNNNNNNNNNNNNNNNNNNNNNNNNNNNNNNNNNNNNNNNNNNNNNNNNNNNNNNNNNNNNNNNNNNNNNNNNNNNNNNNNNNNNNNNNNNNNCUCGUCCUUUGUCACUUAGGUGGACCAUACCGUCCUGCUUGUCUUCAGUGAAUCAAUGCUCAUGGAACUGGCCGAGCAAAUGAACACCAACUUCAAGGAAGACACUGCUCGCAGGUUGCUCUGGCUCGACGAGAUUGGAAUCUUGCUGCUCAAAGACGUCAAUGGAUGGGCAUGGUCAUCACCUCGGAUGCUGAGGAUCCUGGAGCAGCUUUCACAGAACCUCCACGGCAUGAUGGCUACAACACCGUCAAAGAGCGAGCUGGGGAUGAAGCUGGCGAAAGCGCUGGAAGGUACCAACGUGGGUCUCCAGGUUCGUAUGAAGCUCUUCGUGUUAUUCGUUUGAUUCAAAUCGUUUGUCGUCGCAGCAUGUCCGAGUUGCAGUGGACAGCAAAGCUCAAUACAUGAGAGUCCUCGGAGGAUACUUUCCAGCGGAACACCGGUAGUUUCUGAGUAU
Molecule: long non-coding RNA, 8675 nt
Filed under: Selaginella moellendorffii
Lineage: Eukaryota; Viridiplantae; Streptophyta; Lycopodiopsida; Selaginellales; Selaginellaceae
Description: long non-coding RNA (SMOE_LNC002396)
Source: RNAcentral